ACAAGAUCCAAAUCAAUGUCCUUCCGGGAGAAUUUCUUAAAAUCUUGUUUUCUCUCGUUGUCUUCGGAAGAAGCCCGACAUUUCUUAUAGGAAAUGGAACUCUUCAUAAGGUUCAUCUCAAAGAUCUCUCUUUGCAUAAUGUGUGUGUGGACCUGCCUACAGAUACAUUGGGUGGAAGCCCUAGGAGCCUCAAGCAAGUCUGAAGAUUGGCCCUGAGAACCACUGUUCUCAUUAUCAGCAAGGAUUUUAUCCAGAGACCUCUAGGAAUACAUUCACUAAAAUGUGACUGUGGUCCUGUGGUUGUAUGAACUCUGGCUCUUCUCGUGAAUUACAUUUCACUGGAGUCAGGUGUUUUCUGUAAACAUCGUUAAACCACGAGACCAACUGCAUUGAACAUUUUUUGCACUACAUUGUUUUAUUUCUUGCUCGUCUUUUCCUUGCAGAGCUGGGGCUGGGGUGA
RNAcentral lists this long non-coding RNA (460 nucleotides) under Homo sapiens (human). RNAcentral's name for it is "SOX9 antisense RNA 1". The record is from RNAcentral. Lineage: Eukaryota; Metazoa; Chordata; Mammalia; Primates; Hominidae.